AACGAACGCUGGCGGCAUGCCUAACACAUGCAAGUCGAACGAGACCUUCGGGUCUAGUGGCGCACGGGUGCGUAACGCGUGGGAAUCUGCCCUUGGGUACGGAAUAACAGUUAGAAAUGACUGCUAAUACCGUAUAAUGACUUCGGUCCAAAGAUUUAUCGCCCAGGGAUGAGCCCGCGUAGGAUUAGCUUGUUGGUGAGGUAAAGGCUCACCAAGGCGACGAUCCUUAGCUGGUCUGAGAGGAUGAUCAGCCACACUGGGACUGAGACACGGCCCAGACUCCUACGGGAGGCAGCAGGUGGGGAAUAUUGGACAAUGGGGAAACCCUGAUCCAGCAAUGCCGCGUGAGUGAUGAAGGCCUUAGGGUUAGUAAAGCUCUUUUACCCGGGAUGAUAAUGACAGUACCGGAGAAUAAGCUCCGGCUAACUCCGUGCCAG
This 437-nucleotide ribosomal RNA is filed under the name uncultured bacterium. RNAcentral's name for it is "bacterial SSU rRNA". It matches the Rfam family "Bacterial small subunit ribosomal RNA", at positions 29 to 511 of the family's 1533-position model. The record is from RNAcentral.